Numida meleagris (helmeted guineafowl) is the source of this 3333-nucleotide long non-coding RNA. RefSeq lists it as uncharacterized. Lineage: Eukaryota; Metazoa; Chordata; Aves; Galliformes; Numididae. The transcript is spliced from 5 exons. The record is from RefSeq and is a predicted model, not a curated record.
AGGCACUUUGUGUUCCCAGUGUUGCAGACUCAUACAUGGAACCACUUAUGACUUUACAGCAGUAGCCACGGAUUAUAUGUGGGCUGCUAUGAAGACCUUACCUCAUCAUUUUGCAUAAUCAUCAUGACUGAAGUAACAAUUGCUGCAGCUAGCACUAUUGAUCUCAAUAGUGCUCAGGUAAUUAAGAGCUCUUUAUGAAGUACUCAAAUGAAAAAGGAGGAUUUUCAGCAGUUCUCAGCAUUGUUGUUCCAGGACUUGUACUGCAGAAAUGGUGUGGAUCCCCAGAUGGAAGGAAUUGUACUAAUUGACACACUCUUUCAAGAUUUCAAUUGCAAAUCACGUGAAAAGUACAGACACCUUUCCUAAAUAAGUAAAAAGAAGAGAAUAUGUUGAGUGAAGUAGUCAGGAUUUAAAAGAGACUGGAGAUUUGUCAAAUGAAGAAUUUACAGAGUGACCUUAUGUCAGGUGGCAUAGAGUUGAUUUUCUUCCUAGAGGAGCUUUGCAGAAAUAAAAAAUACUCAAAAUCAGCAUCACCAAGAACAGCAGUGUUGUUCAGAACAUCUGUUAUUGAAGAGCUCGGCCUCAAGCAUCUUUAAAUGAGCAUCUGGUUGUUUAUUUAUUUAUUUGUUUACUGUUGCAAUUGAUUUUAAAAUAAUCAAGACAUUGUAAAUCCAAAAGUCUUUUAGAAGUAUUUUAAGGAAUGCUGGAAAACAAUUGUUUCUACAAUUGAACAGCUUACCUAUGUUUUGCACAGCAAUAUCAGACUGCAACAAUAAAAAAACCAGUUAUUCUUCUGUCAUCUAAGUAAUUCUCAUUAAAUUAUUAUUUUUUUAAUAUCCCGCAUCAGAUAAUUACUUCUUACCAGUUCACACACCUUACACCAACUAUGAAAACUGAUGAAUGAUAUUAGUAAAAUAUCCCUCGACUUCUAUAUUCAAUCAUUCAGGAGUUAAGUAAUUUAAUAUAUUAAAUUUGUAAUUUUGAGGUCAAUUUCACUAAAUAGGAAUCUUGUAAAUAGGUGUUAGAGGUGGCUGUGCAAAACAAAAACCAACAGUAAUGACGGUGAUAAUUUUAUAACAUAAAAUGGAAGUAAGCCAAACAAAACAGCCAAAUAAAGUAAUCACAGUCAGCUAAAUAAAACAUCUCAGUUUAUACAUGCCAUUGACAGACAACAAAUCUGCCGAUUAAUCAGUGUACCCAUACCAAUAUGAUUUGAUUCCAGAAGCAGAAAAAGUCAGAACAUGAAAAAAUUUGAAGACACUGACACAUAGAUUUUCCCAUGAAUCUCUGGUAAAAACAUUACAUAAUUCUCAUCUUCUGUUCAUCGUUUUAACAGAUUCUGAUUUUUGUGAAAUAGUCAGAUGAUUUAACAUCACUUAUUUUUCUGUGGAAAAAGUAUAAGAAAUGAACUUGGUAUGUGGAGGAUUAUACAUAAUUCUUCACAAACUUUUCACAUGUGUUUCUGUUCUUUAAAUCUCUUGUGUAAAAAUAAAAAAAGAGACUUUUCCUUUCAAGUUUUUGCUUUCUCAUUGACUUCUUUUAUACAGCCAAAUGUUUCUCAUUUUGAAUCCCACUGAAUGAAGGAAAUGCAAUAUAUUUCAAUUAGAGUUGGGCUAAUCUUUCUGCCAAAUUCACCAGUCUGUGUAAAACUCUGAUAAGAGUACUGACUGAAAUUGAUAAAAUUAGACAUCUUUGGCUGAGUUGUUCACAUCAGAAUUAUAAGUUUAGAUGACAAAACUAAUUUAAAAAAUGGACUUUACUGAUUCCUACUUUAUACCAAUAUAAAUGCCACAAAGAGUCAGAACUGAUGGAUGACAGCAUCAUGAAAACAGCAAAUGGGAGACCAACAGGGUCCAUUUCUAAAUUAGAUUCACAAAUUCAACCGUGUGAGAGCAAGCUAUGUAGCUGGCACCACAACAGGAAAUGGUCCACAUUAGGGAAAAAAAAAAGUUCAUGACAUUUCUUCUCUGUCUUAAAUUAUCACAUGCAUUUCACUCUCCAUCUUUCACCUUAGUUUCCAUGACCAAAGCCUUGCAGCUGAAGUAUUGUAAAAGUAACUGCCUCUCUAGAGGCAACUAGUGUUCAGGCUUGCUAUGUGAAACAGGCUCCACUUAAUGCAAUAAAUCCAUUAAUAUUUGAGCAAAAAUUGAGAUGCUUUCCUGCUCAAACCAAGUAACAGAACAGAUUUUAUUAGUGUGGUAUUAGAGAGUGAAACAGUAUGAACAGGUGGAACUGCAGACAGGCUGAACUAAUAUGAAUGAAAACACAAUAAUUCCACUCUUCCAUGCCUGCUGAGUACAUUAUUGUAGAAGGAGGGUGUAGCAUUUACUGCAGACAUUAACUGAGUGGCCUGUUCUCUGGGCUCAUCAAUGUAAGUAGUUCUAUGAUUCCUUACACUGUGCACUUAGUUUAAAUCCUACAGAAAUUAACUUUAACUUCAUGCAAGAAAGUCAGUACAGUCAAAUUAGCUCCAUGCACCAUCCAAGUUACAGAGCCCUGCUGACAUGCAGUUUGUGUGACCUGAGCUGAGCAUAUUACAGCUGUAGAUAUCUUCCUCCUCCUAGUGAUACUGUUGACCUCAGAGCUCAUUCAAAGCUCUGUAUGGAAGCACUGCAUUGCACUGUCUGUUUUCGUACCUGCUUCUAUAAACAGUGUUAUCUUCUGUUCCUGGAAAUAAUUUGUUUCUGUCUCCUUAUCAGAAAGCUGGUCUCUCCAGUGGUUUGACCUCCUGCAUCAGUCCAGAUGUGUGAAAUAUUCAGAGUCUUCACUGACCGUUGCAGGAACAGUGUAGGGCGAUAUUGUUAAAAUAUUUAUAUUCAGUUUCAGAUACUGUUAAAGCAUCAGCUUGGCAGAGAAGACAGAAUCCUAAACUUCGCAAGCAAUGAAGGAGCAAAUUAUUUUCAAACAUUUUGUUUUAAAAUGUAAAUAUAGCUACAACUUUAAAAUGUUGCACAUAUGGAAUCUUAAAUGUUCUAAUAAAACCUUUGAAUUUUGCUUUAAAGUUUAAUGGAAUGUUGGGAAACAGCUUGCUUGGCAGCGCUCGGUAGCACGUAGUUACUGAUUUACUAAUGAUUUAUGAUGUAAUGAUGUAAUCCCUAGAUACAUGGAAUGUGGUGUUUCCAGUGUGUUCUAGUAUAUUUCAGCAUAUCCAUAGUAUUCUGUAUCCAUAGUAUUGUAGUUAACAACAUAUCCCAUAUAUGGUGAUUACUCGGGCAACGAUUUGUUAGCGUGUGCGUUGCAUAGAGCUUGUAUCCCUGGACCCUGUAUCCCUGGAAGCAUAUAUGCUAUAUAAGAUGGUGUGUUGCUACAAAAAAGUAGAAGCCGUGAACUCAU